AUUGAACGCUGGCGGCAUGCUUUACACAUGCAAGUCGAACGGCAGCGCGGGCUUCGGCCUGGCGGCGAGUGGCGAACGGGUGAGUAAUGCAUCGGAACGUGCCCAGUAGUGGGGGAUAGCCCGGCGAAAGCCGGAUUAAUACCGCAUACGACCUGAGGGUGAAAGCGGGGGACCGAAAGGCCUCGCGCUAUUGGAGCGGCCGAUGUCGGAUUAGCUAGUUGGUGGGGUAAAGGCUUACCAAGGCGACGAUCCGUAGCUGGUCUGAGAGGACGACCAGCCACCCGGGACUUAGGCACCGCCCCGGCUCCCUCGGGGGGCCACCGUGGGGAAUUUUGGACCAUGGGGGGAAACCCUGUCCCGCCCUGCCGGCGGGGGGAAGGAGGGCUUUCGGUUUUUAACCGCUUUUGUUCGGGAAGAAAUCCUCUGGGCUAAUACCCCGGGGGGAUGACGGUACCGGAAGAAUAAGCACCGGCUAACUACGUG
This 483-nucleotide ribosomal RNA is filed under the name uncultured bacterium. Its description in RNAcentral is "partial 16S ribosomal RNA". It matches the Rfam family "Bacterial small subunit ribosomal RNA", at positions 28 to 507 of the family's 1533-position model. The record is from RNAcentral.